Molecule: long non-coding RNA, 174 nt
Organism: Bradysia coprophila
Lineage: Eukaryota; Metazoa; Arthropoda; Insecta; Diptera; Sciaridae
Source: RefSeq, a predicted model, not a curated record
GACUUAAGGUACUUGUCAAAGUAUCUGCUUCUUUUUUAACAUGUUAUGAUGUGAGCGAGAGAACUGAAGACCAGUUUACUAUAACUUGCCUUGGGAUAAUUGUCAAAAUAUUUCUUUCUAUUUCAUCAUAACACUCUAUGAACUAUUAUGAUCAGAGCGAGGAAAUCGACGACU